Peromyscus californicus insignis is the source of this 6050-nucleotide long non-coding RNA. RefSeq lists it as uncharacterized. The transcript has 4 exons. The record is from RefSeq and is a predicted model, not a curated record. Lineage: Eukaryota; Metazoa; Chordata; Mammalia; Rodentia; Cricetidae.
GACUUCCCCUGCCACCCGCCCUCUUUCUCCUCACAGCUCACUCGCUCUCUUUUUUUCUCCCUGUAUUGCCAAGACCAUGGUGUCCUAGAAACUAUAGUAGAUGUCACUGCUUGGCACUUUCUGUGCAGAGAGGACAAGUAUGUGGGCGCAGGGGGGUGGCGGAAAGCUACUCUUAAAGCCACAGAGGCUGCAUUGGCUAGGAGCUGGAGCUGGAGCGAGGCUGUUUUUCUGGAGCCUUUGAAAUCAGCAUGGCGAAAAGCAUCUGAUUUGGAUUCCAGAAAAAACACAGGCACUGUUUGAGGGACUGGACCCACUGACAUCUUCAACCACCGGCUUCUUCACCUCUCAGGACACACUGAGCUAGCUGAGAGCCUUGACGUGCUGCUCUGUGUCAUUAGCCACACGCUGGGAUCAUCGGGGGUUACAGGGACUAAUCUGAGGCGUUCUCCAGUAAGAAGACAGAGUGCCUACUCUGUAGUCUCAGUGGGAAGAUAGAAACGGACAAGCAAUUAAGACACCGAGAUGAUGCUGAUGAGGAGAGCAGUUAGCCAUGUCUGAAGACUCAUGGAGACAAAACCAUGUUUGGAAGUGCAAAGUACCUUAAAUGUUGUUGGUCUUCUGUGAUGGAUACUUUUCUCGUGGCACCAAUUAGAAGCCAAACUCCCAAGGAACAAGAACCACCCCUGAUUCUCUAGAGCCUCAUCAUGGUAUCCAAGUGACUCCCUUUUCCUUUGAGGUACGCAAUAACUUUUUAUUAGUACCGACAUUAAGCCAUGGGGCUAUCUCCUGCUGUCUGAACUGGCUCCUGCAACGGAAAUAUUGUUAUCUAAACUAGAACUGAGUUAAAGCACUGGCCUUUAGACUAAGGAAGCUUUCAAAAACAUGGAUUUCGGGCACUUUUGGCGAGCUGGUGUCCCUUAGCGCCCCGUUUGUAGGAAGAAACGGACUAUUCCCAAGCAGGGAUGUGAGACAAGUGUGCUGUUUCAGACCCAACGCAGGGCCAGCUUGAAAGACGCGUUGGAAGGGAGAGGAAAGAGUGGUAAAAAUACCAGCUAGAAAGCAAUGCCAUGGAAAACAAUGUUUUCCUUUCCUGCCAAAAGGACAUGUUUACUUUUUAAAAGUUUUUUUGUAAUGUUGUAUUUAAGAAAUAAAUUUGAAACUCACAUUAUUGCCCAACAAUAUUGAGCGUACUUGACACUCUGUCCAUUUUGGAGAAAGUUCUGCUCAGAGUUGUGUGAUCCAAAUUCGUGUAAGGAAAAUCCUGACAGUCUUCCACUUCGUCACGCCUGGGCUGAGGGCAGAUGACUCACUGUAUGAAUUCAAGUUAAAUCGCUUAACCUUUUUCUCUUAUUCAACCCAUCUGGGAGGCUGAGUACACGCGCUUCACUACGGAACAGAUGGUGCGCCAAAGCUAAAUUUUCCCAGAUUAAAAAAGAGGAAAAAUGUGUGAGAAGCUCUGAAAGAACCAAAUAUGGAAAAAGACCAAGGAUUAAAAGGAAAAGAGCUAUAAAUUGGAUCAGACCUUUUCCCCUGUUUAAAAAAAAAAAAAGUAAUGUAAUGCUUAAAAAAGAAGUUGUGUGAGAUGAUUUGGAGACAAAGUUAGCAGAAUGUUUCAUAAACUCCAUAUGUGCAAGGGUGGCCAUGAAGGGUGGCAUCAAUGGUGGGGAGAUAUUCUGCGCUGUCUCAUUCACCAAUAUGCCUCACGAAACACAGUCAUACAGAGAUGGUGUUUGAUUAUUUAUUUGAUAACUCUAAAAUUGAGUACUCAUAACAACUAUUUCUUAAGAAUUCUUAUGGAACUAUCUAAAUUGCAGCUUAGUGAAAUUUAACACUAGCUCACAAAUAAAAAAGAUUCCCAACAUGUUCUAGGAUGAAUAUAAUUUCUAACCUGUCCUUGAAAAAAAAAAGUGUAUUCAUUGCUUUAAGGAAAGAGACAUCAUUGCCCUUGCUAAGUUGGUAUGAUUUUAAUCUUACUGUGCAUAAAAAAAUGUUCUAAGUUCAAAUGUAUUUACAGCUCUCAUAUUUUAUGGAACAAGAAAUGUCCUAUGGUCAUAGAUAAAGCAAACAUUUGGAUGCACCAAGUUGAACAUACUAGGAAAAGCCUGCAUCUUUUUAUUUCCCGACUGGUUCUGAUAAACUUAGGGAAUGUUAGCUUAGCAUUUAAAAGAUGUAGUUUAUGGAUGAGGCUAGAAUUGAAACCUGAGAAACUCACAUAAUAGACUUCCAGAUGCCACACAUAAAAAUCCAUAUGGGACUUUGGUCUAGGGAUGGACUCCAGAGGCCCCACUUUAGUUGAGGCAACUAGCCAAUGCAAACUUCCUUCAGUUUAUUUUCAAAAAUCAUAUUAUGUAUCAAAAUAAAAGUAUGUGCAUUUUCCCCAAAUAAUCACUUUAUUAUUGAACUUGGGUCAUACUCCCGAUCCUAGGACGUCCAGAUGAGGUGUAGCUAAGUGGAUAAGAAGCAACAAGAAGAGACAAGCAAACACUGCUCUUCUCAAGGAGAACUUCAUGUGACUACUACUCUAAUUUUCUUCUGAGAAAACAGUAAAUGAAAACUGGCCAGAAUUAUGGCAUAAAUGCUAAUAGCAAUGAACACCCAGAUAAUGAUCAAUAUCCAGUUUAACAUAGUCCUUCCUCAAUAUGGCAAAUACAUUCUUGGGACUAUGCCUUAGUCACUGUUCAACUGCUGUGAAGAGACACCAUGACCAAGGCAACUCUUACAAAAGAAAGCAUUUGACUGGGGGCUUGCUCACAGUUUCAGAGGGAUGGUAGCUGGGAACUACAUCCUAAUCUGUAGACAGAGAGAGCAAGCCUGUGUCUAGCAUGGGCUUUUGGAAUCUCAAACCCCACACCCAGUGAUACACUUCCUCCAACAAAGCCACACCCCCAAUCCUUGUAAUCCUUUCAAAGAGUUUCAUUCCCUAGUGUCUAAGCAUACAAGUAUAUGAGCCUAUGGGGGCUAUUCUUAUUCAAACCACCACAGAAUGUUUAUGUAAAUAAGUCUGAAAGUAACUAAUCAAAUAUUCCGAGACUUCUUAACUAAUGUGUGUGUGUACACACUCAUAUGAACUCAUAUAUUUUAUAUAUUCAAAUUAUAUUUUCACUGCUCACUAAAUUUCACUAAAAACAAAAGCUAAACUACUGCCAUGCCAAAUUGAGCUACUUAAAAUUAAUUUUUGAUCAGGAGACAUGGAGCUUAUAUAUUUCAAAGGGACCUUUAUCAGACAGGCCUGAAUAUAAGCGUCCUAUGGAUUUUUUACUUGCUCCCUGGCCUGUAUGUAUGAGUUCCUCUAAGUAGGACUUCAGCUAAAGAUUCAAAGUAAAGUCUUUCUACAGGGUUCUGAAGGCAAACCCAAAAUGCUCAGGACCAUCUUGCUCACUACAGUGCAUCAAAUCCACAUAUAUCUGUGGCUACACGACGUGACCACCAGUGGAAAGAUGUUAGUUCUCUUAGAUGAUGCUUUUGAGCAUUUCCUUCUCACUACUGUGCUGUGCCUUCAGACAGUCUUUUCAUCUUCAUUCUGAGUAUAAAUUCUUUAGUAAUUCAUGCUGAAUGUCCCCCCUCUUCUUUUUCCAGAGCUAAGCCUAGGGAUGGCAUGAUACUUGGCUUCCAUGUGGGUUGGGAAUAAUUUCCAAUCCCAUCACCAUAUAGUCCAUGACUGAUGGUAGGUAAGUAGUCAGCCUCACUUAAGAACAGUACAUUUCCAUGUACAUACUCAUAGCCCACAAUGCAAUAUGAAUAAAAUAAUCAUCAUAAAAACACUACCAAAUUUUACUCUUUUCAUAAAUCUAGUAUAGAAGUGUUCUUUUUGUUGUGUUGAUGAGCAACACUGAAAAAAAUACUAGAAUCUUAUUGAGUUGGUCUUACUUCCUUUCCACUCUGUACAGAAGAGCUGAAACGGAAAAUGGGUAUGGUAUGCACAUAUACUUCAAGCUUUACCUAUUUCAUAAUCUCACAAAAUGUAUUUGUGUCUUAGUGAUUAUAAGUCUCCAAAUAGGUGAUAAAUUGGGAAGGAAAAUGAGACAUUUCUGUAUGAAUGAGAAUUUUCUAGCUUGUUGUCAAAGCUCAAAUGUGGUACAGUGUCACUUAAAACACAUUUUACAAUAGUAAAUAAACUGGCCACCAAAUAUUCAAAUUAAAAAAACCCACAUUUUAGAAUAAACAGCUAAUGUGUAGCUUCCCACAUGGCUGGUGAUUCUAUUAGAUAAGAAAAUGUGCAUUUUUAUAGCUAUCAGGACAAUUUUAGGGAGUAUGAAAAAAGAUAAAGGAUGUAAUAAAUUUUAAUAAAUUUAUCUUCUAUUUUCUUAGCACUAUGACAGUAGCUUUUACAUCAUUAUCUCAUUUACUCUUUCAACCUGUCCUUGGUAUACACUUUACUUAAUUUCCUGGGUUUGUUUUGGUUAGCAUGUUGAACAAUGGUCUUCAUUAUGUUAUUUUCAUAUACAAACAUUACUGGACUGUGCUGGUCCACCCGCCCCCACACAUCUUCCCUGUCCUCCUCGCUGGUCCCUUCCUACUCAGAUAGCAUCUUUUUCUUCUUAUUCAUCAUAUGUAUUCCAUUAACAUCUCUUUUUCCUGUGUCUCUUCAGAUAUCUGCCUACCUCCUCACUGUGUCCUUUCUACUUUCAUGACCACACACAGAGAGAAGUACAUGCAUACAUGCAUACAUACACACAUAAUUUUAAAUCUAGAUUCUCCCAAGUGUAUUUUCUUUUACUUAACCUAAUGAUUUCUAGUUCCAUCCAUUUUCUUGAAAAUGUUACUAUUUAAUUUUUUUUAAUGACUGCACAAAGUUUCCUUGUGUAUCUGUGCCACAUUUUCUCUGUCUAUUCAUCUGUUGAUGGACAUCUAGGCUGGUUCCCAUCUCCUGCUAUUGUGAACAGUGAAGCAAUGAACAUGAAUGUGCAAGUAUCUCUGUGGCAUGUUGACUCAGGGUCUUUCAGGUGUGAAUCCAAGAUGGUCUAGUAGGGUCCUGUGGUGAUUUUAUUGUUUUGCUUUUUGAGAAGCCUCAACACUGAUUUCCAUAGUGGCUGAAUGAGUUUACAUUCUUAGCAGCAGUAAAGAAGAGGUCCUCUUUCCCCACAUAGUCAUCUGCAUUUGUAAUCAUUUAUCUUGGCUAUGGCAUUCUGGCUGAGGUGACACAGAAUCUUAAAGCAGCUUUAAUUUGCAUUUCCUGAUGGCUGAGGCAGUUAAACAUGCAAGUACUUACUAGUCAUAUUGUUUCUUCUUUUGAGAAGUAUAUAUUCAAUUCCUUAGGCCAUUUAUUGAUUGACAUCGGAUUUUUGGUGCUUAACUAUUGCAGUUCUUUAUAUAUCUUAGAUAUUAAUCCCCUAUCUGAUGUAUAAUUGAAAAAGAUCCCCCCAAUUCUAUGGGUGGUCUCUUCCUAGUGAUUAUUUCCUGUGCUGUAAGAAGCUUUUUAAUUUUACAUAAUACCAUUUGUCAACAGGAAGAUAAUUUAAUUAAUUAAUUAAUUCAGUUCUCAAGACAGGGUUUCUCUGUGUAGCACUGGGUAUCCUGGAACUCACUCUGUAGACCAGGCUGUUCUCAAACUCAAGAGAUAUGUUUGCCUCUGCCUCCUCAGUGCUGGGAUUAAAGACAUGCCGGUUUUUAUGGCAGUACCAAGUUGUUUUUAUUACUGUUGCUCUAUAGUAGAGCUUGAAGUCAGGGAUCGUGAUGCCUCCAGAGGUUGUUUAAUUGUGCAGGAUUCUUUUGGCUAUCCUGGGUUUGUUGUUUUUCCAUAUGAAGUUGAGUGUUGUUCUUUCCAGGUCUGUGAAGAAUUGUGUUGAGAUUUUGAUGGGGAUUGCAUUGAAUCUGUAGAUUGCUUUUGGUAAGAUUGCCAUAAAUGGAUGGAACUAGAAAAUAUCAUCCUGAGUGAGGUAACUCAGACUCAGAAAGACAAACAUGGUAUGUACUCACUCAUAAGUGAAUACUAGAUGUAAAGCAAAGGAUAACCAGACUGCAACUCACAACUCCAGGGAGGCUACCUAGUAAAGAGGACCAUAAGAAAGACACAGUGAUCGCCCAAUGACAGAGAAAUGGAUGAGAUCUAC